UACGUAGGGUGCGAGCGUUAAUCGGAAUUACUGGGCGUAAAGCGUGCGUAGGCGGUUUUGUAAGUCAGAUGUGAAACCUCCGGGCUUAACUCGGGGACUGCGUUUGAAACUACAAGGCUAGAGUGUAGCAGAGGGGGGUGGAAUUCCACGUGUAGCAGUGAAAUGCGUAGAGAUGUGGAGGAACACCGAUGGCGAAGGCAGCCCCCUGGGCUAACACUGACGCUCAGGCACGAAAGCGUGGGGAGCAAACAGG
RNAcentral lists this ribosomal RNA (253 nucleotides) under uncultured bacterium. RNAcentral describes it as "partial 16S ribosomal RNA". It matches the Rfam family "Bacterial small subunit ribosomal RNA", at positions 524 to 776 of the family's 1533-position model. The record is from RNAcentral.